Molecule: non-coding RNA, 2537 nt
Organism: Anas platyrhynchos (mallard)
Lineage: Eukaryota; Metazoa; Chordata; Aves; Anseriformes; Anatidae
Source: RefSeq, a predicted model, not a curated record
GGGGGGGGGCGGACAAAGCCCGGCCCGGCUCCGCCUCCGCGGCCGGCAGCCGGCCCCCCGCGAGGCGGCGGGGAGCGGGGCGGCUGCGGGGAGCCGCAAGUUUUGCCCGGAGUGGGGAAAAGUUGGGCUCGGAGGCGAUUACUCCGAGGAGGGUAACGUGAAGUCAUUCACGGAAGAUUAUGGCAUUGCACGAAAGGAAUGUAACGGCGGGCCAUAAACGAACAGCAACGGGAAGAGCUCCUGCUCGGCUCCUGCUUGUUCAUCCAGCGCCUCGCACGUGACCCCCCCCGCGCCAAGGACUUGGAGUGCACGAAUGUACCUUUGGUAACAGCAGCACCUGCCAUGCCACGCACGUGGCGCGGAGAUAAGGGCAAAGACGAGUUCCCCAUCCUCUUGUUUUCAGAUUCCUGGAAAUUUGAGGAGCAGCCUUCAGCAGCCAAAGAAUGUGGUUCUCCCCGGAUCUGUGGGUAUCAGGGGAACAGAAGCAGGAUCAGUUGGAGUCCAAGAAGCACAACUUGAAGAGAUUCGGGAGCACUCUGGAGUGAACCGGCAGGAAGCCUUGUAAUACAGCUGUGGCAAUGAGAGUGGCUGUCCUCAGGAGAUGCUGCAGCUCAGCUUUAUCAUGAUCUUCUUUCUUACGCCUCCCAACGAAUGCACAAAGGACUUAAUUUUGUUCAGGAUUCGUGUGGUGUAAAAUAGUCACGGAGAUGUACAUAUGUCAGCCUGAACACUCCUCAGUGGGGCUUUGCUGCUCUCUAGCUCAGAGAAUUGCUUAGAGCUGUGGGAGCUCGGUGCACGCUGUGCGUGUCUCAGGAUAGGGAGGGAGCACGACCAAAACUCGGAGGACAAAAGAAAGCGAAUGGAAAAUAUCUGGUAAGAUUUUUCUAUGAACUGCUGAGCUCUUCCAAGUGGGGGAGGAAAAGGAUUAAAAGUGAGGAGUUUUAAAGACAAAUUGAAGUUGAUGUUUGAACUGUCAGUCCAGGAAACUCCAGCGACAAACUGAAUGGAAAGUUCCCCAGUGAAGUCCACAAAGAAUCUUCAAAGACAAAUCUGAAUGGAGAACAGCAAGGAUUUACAUCUUUGUGUACAGGAACCGAGUAAUUACUGGCAGCCGGAACAGAAACUCCAGAUUCUUGGCAGUAAAAAGGAAAUGGUCUGGCUCGGGGACUUGGACUGAGUGGUUUUUAAGUCUUUGAGGAGCAAAUCUAAUGUUUUGGAUACAUACAAUAGAACAAAUCUGUGGAAAUCCUGAGGUGGGAAAUGAAAUGUAUUGGUUAGGGCUUGAAAAUAUGUAUACCAAUAUUUGGUUUCUUUGAGUACGUUUUCAGGCUGGAAUGAUAUCUGAAAAUAUCUCAAAUGCAUUACUUACAGCAAGCAAGCUAGUGGCCUGCAGAGGAAUGUACAAGUUCCCACUUCACAUCGUGGACUUGUCAACUGAUUUUAAAGCAAGGUUUAUUUUGAUUAUUUUAACAAAAAUGCAAUUUCUGUUUUUCAUUUCAAUCUAAAAUGAGAGGAACUGUGCUGUAAUCAUCACCUGUAAUACUGUGUGAGCAGGUUGAAAAAUAUAUUUGGAUUUCAGGUGUAUGAAAGUUUACAGUGGUUCCUUGAUUGCCAUGGGUGAGAUUUUCUUGUUGUUUUAUUUUAUUUUUAUUUUUUAAUUAUUAUUUGUUUUUUUGUUUGUUUGUUUUUCUUCUUUGGACUUCUCAGCAGCAUUUUUAUGGUUGAUCAUGACAUCUUUUUGAUCUAUUUGAUGUCGCUGGCCUUGUCUCAGACAGCAUGAGGCUGGUUUUAUUCCUCUCCAUCCCUCUCUAAUCUCUAUUUGUGUCUAGCAAAGGGGAGGCCUCUCUUACGGGGAAAAAAAGGAGGCAGUAAGGAUCUCACUUUGGUCUGUUUGAGUCAAGAGUCCCAUAGCAUGCAAAGAUUUCUCAUGAGGCCUUCACAGGCUUCUUAGUAUCGCUGUUUUAACAUGUUUUCUAGUUCUGCAGGGAUGUGAGACUGAGUCAUGGGUUGUGUGCUCUGAGAUUUAUAAAGAGCUAAAAUCCUGAUAGAGCUGGUGUAAUGGGCUGGACCUGUGUGUCCUUGAAGCAUUCCCCUCCCGCUCUUUUCCCCACCUGAACUUUUAAGAGACAAUUGAAGUGUCUGGUUCCAUUUCACUUCAGGUUAAUGUGAAAGAACAAUGAAUGUGUAUGAACAUCACCAGCAGGGCUGGUUCACCACCUGCCUUAGCUAUCUAGCCUGGUAUUUAAGGGCUGUAUUUGGACCGAGAUACCAAAAGAUACAUGCAGGAGAAGGAAGCUUCAUUUUUCUUCAAGCAGGAACCACUGGCUUUUUGGUUAGCUGGCUUCUAGGACUUAGUUGUACAUGACCUGGCUCUGGAAAAUGUGUGCAAAUGUAACAGGAGUUUCCAAAAAUAAUUAGAUGUUUUUUUCAAUUGUAUUUUAAAAUCACAACCUGUUUUAAUAAUAACAUGCAGGGUUUAGGCAUAGACAAGUACUUGGUGGUUUGAAAAUAAAACCCUUUUGUGGAAAUACUCUCUA